GGGGUUGACCGGUUUUGACAGCGUGUAGAAGUGGUCAGUAAGCAUGCAGAGCAACGAUGCCUACGCUCUAUAAUCAGAGACAUCAAAAUUUCAAAUGGCGAAAACAACUACGCUCUCGCUGCUUGAUUGAAGUAUAGUAGAUCAGCUUUAUCCGCGUAACAGUUACGCAGACGAGACAUCGCCCGAGAGUCCUGGACCCGAGACUCCUCGACACGGCGGUGCAGCAAAAUCGGGUAUAGGAAGCCAAACGCUCCGAGAGGCGUCCGAAAACAAAGGAGAUAAGGUGUCGGUUGGGUGUCUUGACCCUGCCGCCGCUCGAAAACCAACUCAAGACUAAGCAUGUAGAAAGCUCAUCAAUUCCACGUUUGGACGGGGGUUCAAAUCCCCCCAACUCCACAA
This 399-nucleotide transfer-messenger RNA is filed under the name Muribaculaceae bacterium. It matches the Rfam family "transfer-messenger RNA". From Rfam's summary of the family: Bacterial tmRNA, also known as 10Sa RNA or SsrA, is named for its dual tRNA and mRNA-like properties. Its role is to liberate the mRNA from a stalled ribosome. The record is from RNAcentral. Lineage: Bacteria; Pseudomonadati; Bacteroidota; Bacteroidia; Bacteroidales; Muribaculaceae.